CCUACGGGUGGCUGCAGUAACGAAUCUUCCGCAAUGGGCGCAAGCCUGACGGAGCAAUGCCGCGUGUGGGAUGAAGCGUCUCUGACGUGUAAACCACUGUCAGGGGGCAGGAACAAUGACCGCCCCCAAAGGAAGUGGCGACUAACUCUGUGCCAGCAGUCGCGGUAAUACAGAGGCCACAAGCGUUAGUCGGAAUCACUGGGCUUAAAGGGUGCGUAGGCGGCUCGACAAGUGCUUUGUGAAAUCCCGGGGCUCAACCCCGGAACAGCAGGGCA
RNAcentral lists this ribosomal RNA (275 nucleotides) under uncultured bacterium. RNAcentral's name for it is "partial 16S ribosomal RNA". It matches the Rfam family "Bacterial small subunit ribosomal RNA", at positions 338 to 630 of the family's 1533-position model. The record is from RNAcentral.